Molecule: ribosomal RNA, 311 nt
Filed under: uncultured Planctomycetota bacterium
Lineage: Bacteria; Pseudomonadati; Planctomycetota
Description: bacterial SSU rRNA
Rfam family: Bacterial small subunit ribosomal RNA
Source: RNAcentral
CGGAGGAGGGGCUCGCGGCCUAUCAGCUGGUUGGUGAGGUAAUGGCUCACCAAGGCGACGACGGCUAGCUGGUCUGAGAGGACGACCCCCCACAUUGGAACUGAGACACGGUCCAGACUCCUACGGGAGGCAGCAGUGGGGAAUUUUGGGCAAUGGCCGAAAGGCUGACCCAGCGACGCCGCGUGUGGGAUGAAGGCCUUCGGGUCGUAAACCGCUGUCGACAGGGACGAAAGCUCGUCGGAUAACACCCGGCGAGGUUGACGGUACCUGUAGAGGAAGCACCGGCUAACUCGCUGCCAGCAGCCGCGGUA